GCGCAACCCUUGUCAUUAGUUGCCAUCAUUUGGUUGGGCACUCUAAUGAGACUGCCGGUGACAAACCGGAGGAAGGUGGGGAUGACGUCAAGUCCUCAUGGCCCUUAUGGGUAGGGCUUCACACGUCAUACAAUGGUCGGUACAGAGGGUUGCCAACCCGCGAGGGGGAGCUAAUCCCACAAAGCCGAUCGUAGUCCGGAUUGUUCUCUGCAACUCGAGAGCAUGAAGUCGGAAUCGCUAGUAAUCGCGGAUCAGCAUGUCGCGGUGAAUACGUUCCCGGGCCUU
RNAcentral lists this ribosomal RNA (285 nucleotides) under uncultured Gallionellaceae bacterium. RNAcentral describes it as "partial 16S ribosomal RNA". It matches the Rfam family "Bacterial small subunit ribosomal RNA", at positions 1096 to 1382 of the family's 1533-position model. Lineage: Bacteria; Pseudomonadati; Pseudomonadota; Betaproteobacteria; Nitrosomonadales; Gallionellaceae. The record is from RNAcentral.